RNAcentral lists this long non-coding RNA (493 nucleotides) under Trifolium pratense (red clover). RNAcentral describes it as "long non-coding RNA (TPRA_LNC010876)". Lineage: Eukaryota; Viridiplantae; Streptophyta; Magnoliopsida; Fabales; Fabaceae. The record is from RNAcentral.
CUAAGGGUACUAGUUAAGCAUAUGAAAAAAUUUAAAAUUUAAAAAGGUUGAAUACACCAAAAUUUCAAUAUUUGAUAACUUAACAAGUGAGCUAAGGGAACUCUUUUAGCAUUUCCGUUUAAAAAAUGGCAUAUAACGCAGCCUUGAGGAAUUCUUAGUCUUGAAUAAAAAAAUCAUCUAAGUUUCCAACAAGUAUUAGUGCUCAAAUCCGAAAAAAUCAAGCAUAACAACCAAGUUAAAAGAACCAGAAAUUCAUAUAUCAAUCAAAAUUAACAAAAAACCACAAAAUUAACUAAAAGCAUAUUAAAAAAAUUAUGCAUACCAAGCACUGCGUUUACCGUUCACACUGUACAUUCUUUUCUCUGAAACACCUAUAAUCCUGAUCAUGAAACCAGGAAACAAAAAUACAAAUCAGACCAAGCUAAACAUAUUUCACCAAAUUAAAAUAACAAAACAACAACUAUCAACAACCAAAUCCAAAGAGAUCAAGGAA